This 31-nucleotide transfer RNA is filed under the name Sceloporus tristichus (plateau fence lizard). Its description in RNAcentral is "partial tRNA-Phe". Lineage: Eukaryota; Metazoa; Chordata; Lepidosauria; Squamata; Phrynosomatidae. The record is from RNAcentral.
CGCGAUGGGCCAACAAAAAUCCCCAAAAACA